GAGUUUGAUCGUGGCUCAGAUUGAACGCUGGCGGCAGGCCUAACACAUGCAAGUCGGGCGGUAGAGAGAAGCUUGCUUCUCUUGAGAGCGGCGGACGGGUGAGUAAUGCCUAGGAAUCUGCCUGGUAGUGGGGGAUAACGCUCGGAAACGGACGCUAAUACCGCAUACGUCCUACGGGAGAAAGCAAGGGACCUUCGGGCCUUGCGCUAUCAGAUGAGCCUAGGUCGGAUUAGCUAGUUGGUGAGGUAAUGGCUCACCAAGGCGACGAUCCGUAACUGGUCUGAGAGGAUGAUCAGUCACACUGGAACUGAGACACGGUCCAGACUCCUACGGGAGGCAGCAGUGGGGAAUAUUGGACAAUGGGCGAAAGCCUGAUCCAGCCAUGCCGCGUGUGUGAAGAAGGUCUUCGGAUUGUAAAGCACUUUAAGUUGGGAGGAAGGGCAGUAAAUUAAUACUUUGCUGUUUUGACGUUACCGACAGAAUAAGCACCGGCUAACUCUGUGCCAGCAGCCG
RNAcentral lists this ribosomal RNA (513 nucleotides) under uncultured bacterium. Its description in RNAcentral is "bacterial SSU rRNA". It matches the Rfam family "Bacterial small subunit ribosomal RNA", at positions 9 to 517 of the family's 1533-position model. The record is from RNAcentral.